GUUCAUGUAAGUAUCAGGGUUCGUACGGGUGCUUGAAAUCCUUGAAAAUGCUUGAAUUUUGAUGUUGUGUUUUCAAGGUUUG
Sander lucioperca (pikeperch) is the source of this 82-nucleotide long non-coding RNA. RefSeq lists it as uncharacterized. The record is from RefSeq and is a predicted model, not a curated record. NCBI's taxonomy places the organism in Eukaryota, Metazoa, Chordata, Actinopteri, Perciformes, Percidae. The transcript is spliced from 3 exons.